This 644-nucleotide long non-coding RNA is filed under the name Heterocephalus glaber (naked mole-rat). RNAcentral describes it as "lncRNA (ENSHGLG00000049222.1)". The record is from RNAcentral. Lineage: Eukaryota; Metazoa; Chordata; Mammalia; Rodentia; Bathyergidae.
GGGCAACAUAGUGAGACCUUGUCUCAAAAAUAAAGUGAAAAGAGGCGGAGGAUGUAGCUCCGUGUGAAGGCCCUGGGUUCAAUCCCCAGUACUGCCAAAAAGUAAAAUGAAUCAAUAAAAGCAGCACCAUGCCUCCCUAACGCUGGGUCAGGCUACGGUCGGUCCGGAGACAGGGCCCUGAGUGCAGCCACGCCAGGGCUGGGGGCAUCAUGGCCUGACCUGAGCCAGCCUGAGUGCCUUCCUGUGACGGAGCUUACAGGUAAUCACAUCCGGUUUUGACAAAUGGGCCGCUGAGCUCACGACUGCUCUGCUGUAAUAAUGCAGGGGUCAGGGCAUCGAUCCGGAAGAAACUCACCCGGCACGGCCCCUGCAGACCUGGUGUCCUCUCGACCUCCAGCUGGACGUGAAGCCAGCACUCGGCCCGCACAGAAACAAGGCACCCCUGCCACUGCACCAGAACAGGCCGGCGACGUCUCUGAGGCACCCAUUGCUCAUGCACACCUUCAGCACAGAGUUCCUGAGCACCGACUGUGAGCUGGCUCUGCUGUGGAUUCGGGGAAUGAACAGCAGGCAAAAUCUGGCUUCUGAGCUUAACUUUGUUGGAAGACAAUGGCAAGAAGCAAAUCUGUGAUUAUAGUAUGCAG